CAGAUGUAAGUGGUGUUUCCUACUUUCAGUCGUCAGCAUCACUGGCUGAGUGGAAAUAAUCCUUUGGAUGCUAAUUGGUUCGCUAUCUGUGAUUGGUUGCUUCCUUGCGAUACUCACUACUCGGUCAGUGAGGAAGUGCGUUUGCUGGUCAACGAGCUUUCUAACUGUCAUUACCCUGCGCUUUUCGAUUCGUCGAGUGGCCAGGAUGUGGCUUUGAGAUUGUUCGCACUUAGUAAUCGCGAUGCUGGCUUCCAACGGUUGCCUCCGGCCCGUCUUGAAACACGGACCAAGGAGUCUAACGUAUGUGCGAGUGUGUGAGUGGCAAACUUAUACGCGUAAUGAAAGUGAGGCCGUAUGGCCAUGUUGGGGUCACCAACAACCGACCUUGAUCUUCGGUGAAAGGUUUGAGUAUGAGCAUAUCCGUUAGGACCCGAAAGAUGGUGAACUAUGCCUGAGCAGGGUGAAGCCAGGGGAAACUCUGGUGGAGGCUCGUAGCGAUACUGACGUGCAAAUCGUUCGUCAGACUUGGGUAUAGGGGCGAAAGACUAAUCGAACCAUCUAGUAGCUGGUUCCCUCCGAAGUUUCCCUCAGGAUAGCUAGAGUCUUUAUCAGUUUUGUCAGGUAAAGCGAAUGAUUAGAGGUUCCGGGGAAGUAACUUCCUCGACCUAUUCUCAAACUUUAAAUGGGCAAGAUCCAGUAGUUACUUAAUUGAACUAUUGGGGUCAAUGAGACGACUCUAAGUGGGCCAUUUUUGGUAAGCAGAACUGGCGAUGAGGGAUGAACCUAACGCUCGGUUAAGGUGCUAAACUGCUCGCUCAUCAGAUACCACAAAGGGUGUUGGUCGAUCUUAACAGCAGGACGGUGGUCAUGGAAGUCGAAAUCCGCUAAGGAGUGUGUAACAACUCACCUGCCGAAUCGACUAGCCCCGAAAAUGGAUAGCGCUGAAGCGAGUGACCGAUACCGGGCCAUUGUUGCAAGAUAAUUGGCAACAAUGAGUAGGAGGGCGUGGGGGUUG
Molecule: non-coding RNA, 1015 nt
Filed under: Perkinsus marinus ATCC 50983
Lineage: Eukaryota; Perkinsozoa; Perkinsida; Perkinsidae
Description: Eukaryotic large subunit ribosomal RNA
Rfam family: Eukaryotic large subunit ribosomal RNA
Source: Rfam by way of RNAcentral